This 66-nucleotide transfer RNA is filed under the name Brachymna tenuis. RNAcentral's name for it is "tRNA-Asn". Lineage: Eukaryota; Metazoa; Arthropoda; Insecta; Hemiptera; Pentatomidae. The record is from RNAcentral.
UUAAUUGAAGCCAAAAUAGAGGCCUUCCAUUGUUAAUGGGAAUAUUGACUUUAAUGUCCAAUUAAA